GGUCACGUUACUAACUUAACUCUUUAAUUAUUUUUAUAAUUAUUUUCCUUCGCUCUCCCAUUUAAAUUCUCUAAUUCCUCGUAUAGGACCACUGACGUGACGUCAUACCUCGGUGAUGGAACAUACUCCACCUAUCGAGAAUUAUUUCGCGUUCGGUGAGUUUGACGUCGUACUCUUGGAAGGAGAGACGAAUGUUCAUCACUUGACCUGUGGCUGUAGGUGAAGUUGGUUGCUACCAUAGAAUAUUAGAAUGGCGGUUGGUUUUUUAUUUUAUAACAUCAGUGAAAAGAAAAAAAAUUACCACAAAUGGUUUUCUACAGUAGGGUGGCAUGUGGGUAGAACAACCCCUCUUGGAAUCGGAAUAGAAAUCACCGCCAUUUUGGAGUAACCACAUGGUGAACUCAUAGCCCUUUGACACCUAGGGAAACCACUACAGCCACAGUCAAGUCGCCAGGGAAUACAUCCUUUUGGGAGCAAGCUAUGGGAGCGUUCCAGCUCAAUUUUCGUCUUGGCACCUGGGCCUACAGGAGUCAUGGGGUCGCACCAUCCUGGUGCAUCAUUUUCUAGGAUGCAACCGCAACCUCGUUUGGGAACAUUUAGUGAGGUGUUUUAGUAACUAUUGGUUUUUUUUUAUAUUUCAGACUAUCUGUUAAAUACACUAUGUUUUUUUUUCAGAUUUAGGUUACCUCUGGUUUUUUUUUGACAUAUUUGUAUAUUAGAUUAUUUCGUUCCCAAACUUUGUAUCUACGGUAACUUCUUGUGCACAGGAAUAAGCCUAGAGAAAAUUAGGUUUUUAAUGCUUUAUUAUUGCUUUGAUAUUGGUUUAUGUAAUUUGGGUAAAUUUAUUUUUUUAAUAUUACUAGCUUGUUUCCCAAAUAUUUUACUGUUAUUCGCUUUAUUCCAUUUGUUCGGUUAAUUUAGGUCAUCGUCGGUAUUCAUCUCAACUUCAUUUCUACUUUAGUCAAUUGUAUAUUUAACUUUAUUUAUUCAUUAUUGUAUUUUCCCUUAGUGAGGCUUGGGCCUAUUUAUUUGUAUUAUUUUCAUCUUUGUCGGUUUCAAUUCAGUUGUACGUAGCAGGCGUACUAUAACCAUUUGGUAGAAGACUUAUGUAAUUUUGUACCCUAUAUGUUAGUGAGAGGUACUUAUACCUGUAAUUUUGUAACAGAUAACAUUAUUGUUGUUAUCUUAGAGAUAACUUUUUGUAUAACUUAUGUCAUUUUAGAGUCACAUGAUAUACACUUUGUGUAACUCAGAGAUUGUCAAAAAUCUAGUAGUUAUUUUUAAUAAAUAUGUAUUUAUUUUGUA
This 1305-nucleotide long non-coding RNA is filed under the name Diabrotica virgifera virgifera (western corn rootworm). RNAcentral describes it as "uncharacterized LOC126887934". Lineage: Eukaryota; Metazoa; Arthropoda; Insecta; Coleoptera; Chrysomelidae. The record is from RNAcentral.